UGUAUAUGUAUUUAAGUCAAAAUCCUCCAGUUUUAAAAAAAUUACAUCAUGUUGUAAUUCUACACUAGAGCAUGAUUCCAUCCUAGAAUAGGACCACUCCAUGUCCUUCUUUACACUAGUGUUUGCACUAGAAAGGUGAUCGAGUGUUUGUUAAAAUAGCAAGACAUAAUAUCCAGUACUCACGGCCUCUCCCCUCUCCUUGCUAACAACACGCUUUUCCUCCAUGUCACACUUGUUGCCAAGGAUCAUCUUCUCCACAUCUUCAUUGGCGUGCUGCACAGGACAACAACAGGUUUACAAUUCAAGUAUAAUGUUAUGAAAAGUCAAUAAACAAGGUCAACAACAUGUUUUCCGGAUGUAACAAAGACUUUACAAUUUCAGAGUCUGGUAAAAAUUUUAUGCAUUCAUAAUCAAUAUAAGUAUCUUAUUCUAACAUGCUAAUUUGAACAGUUACUUCAAUAACUCUUCCUUGGGACAAAUUUAAGAUGAAUAAAUGUAUGAGCACAAAAAUAAAAUAUUAUUCAAAUAAUGGAAGAAUACCAAGCUAUUUACUAAGCCAUUAAAAAGCUAAUAAUAUGCUUCAGUUACAUUUUACAAGAUUUUAACUACAAAAUCCAUUAAGUAUAACAAUUGGUAAAUAAACUAAUAAUGGUCUAAAUACAUGAUGUCAUAAUAACAAUCAUAUUCUCAAAACUAUGGAGAGGGAAACAUUGAGACAAAAAAUAUGAGUAAUGUGAUAAGAGAAUCAACUGAGCAGGAAAUAAGGGUGGAUAUUGUAAUUCUUUUUUAUAUAUCACAGAGUUCUCAUAACAGGCUAUGUAACACUGUAAAACAUGAAUUUGAGUAAGUAUCAAUUACAUCUUCAAAUAUAAAGGUAAUAUGGAUAGGAACAAUCAAACAAAUAUAUACACAAACUCAUAUAGUAAAUAAGGUAUAGUUGUGUGGGCUCACAGACUGAUAGAUCUUCAUGAGUUGUUUAUACAGAGUAUCUCACUGACCUCGUCUAUAUUUCUUAACCACUUGACAAUAUCAUCAAAUGUCUUCUCAUUAGUUAUAUCAUACACCAGCAUGAUGCCCAUCGCGCCACGGUAAUAAGAUGUGGUGAUGGUGUGAAAGCGCUCCUGGCCAGCCGUGUCCCAGAUUUGGAGCUUUAUUUUUUUACCUCGAAGCUCCACCGUCUUUAUUUUGAAGUCUAUUCCUGAAGUCAGAAGAAAAUAGAACCCAAUUUAUCACCAAAAGCAAUUAUGGGUGUAGUCAUAAACAGAUUACAUUAUUGCAAACAAUGAUAAACUAAAAGAGAUUAAACUUUAAUCUACGAGGGUAAGCUCAAGAAAACGAAAUCCUAAUAAAUACAAAGGUGGGUCUUACCGAUAGUGGAUAUAAAUGUCGUUGUAAAGUGGUUGUCUGAAAACCUAAAUAAUAUGCAAGUCUUUCCCACGCCAGAAUCACCAAUAAGGAGUAGCUUGAAUAACAAAUCGUAAGUCUUCUUAGCCAUUUUAAUAAUUAUUUUACAAAUAUGAGUUACUAAAGGCUAAAUGCUCCAAA
Long non-coding RNA from Plodia interpunctella (Indianmeal moth), 1545 nucleotides. RefSeq lists it as uncharacterized. Lineage: Eukaryota; Metazoa; Arthropoda; Insecta; Lepidoptera; Pyralidae. The transcript is spliced from 2 exons. The record is from RefSeq and is a predicted model, not a curated record.